RNAcentral lists this long non-coding RNA (1157 nucleotides) under Bos mutus (wild yak). RNAcentral's name for it is "lncRNA (ENSBMUG00000012767.1)". Lineage: Eukaryota; Metazoa; Chordata; Mammalia; Artiodactyla; Bovidae. The record is from RNAcentral.
ACACAUCUUACACCACACACACCACACACCCCACACAUGCCUCACACACCUCACACACCUCAUACACCACACACACCACACACACCUCACACACCUCACACAUCACACAUCUUACACCACACACACCACACACACCACACAUGCCUCACACACCUCACACACCUCAUACACCACACACACCACACACACCUCACACACCUCACAUACCUCACACCACACACACUACACACACACACCUCACACACCUCACACCCCACACUCACCUCACACACCACACACAUCUCACACACUUCAUACACCUCACACACACACCACACAUACCUCACACAACACACACACCUCACACACCACACCCACCUCACACACCACACACACCUCACACACCACACAUACCUCACACCACACAUACUACACACACACACCUCACACACCUCACACACCACACUCACCUCACUCACCUCACACACCUCAUACACCUCACACACACACACCACACAUACCUCACACACACACAUCACACACACCACACAUACCUCACACACCUCAUACACCACACACACCUCACAUACCACACACACCACACACACAUCACACACCUCACACAUCACACAUAUCUUACACCACACACACCACACACACACACCUCACCACACACCUCACACAACACACACACCUCACACACCACGCAUACCUCACACACCUCACACACCACACAUCACACACACACACCUCACACACACCUCACACACACACACCUCACACACACACACCUCACACACACCUCACACACACCUCACACACACCUCACACACCACACACACCUUACAUACCUCACACACAGAUACCUCACACACACACCUCACACACACCUCACACCUCACACACCACACACACCUUACAUACCUCACACACAGAUACCUCACACACACACACCUCACACACACCUCACACACACACACCUCACACACACACACCUCACACACCUCACACAAACCUCACACACACACACGUCACACACCUCACACACACACAUCUCACACACACACCACGGACCCGCUCAGCCCAGGCGCUCAGGCUGUCCUAGACGAGCUCCGGGUCCUGGCCCGUACGCCCUCUGUCCCGCCCACCGCCGCCGCCUCCCUUCAGCCCCGUCCUGG